GAUGAAGAACGUAGCGAAAUGCGAUAAGUAAUGUGAAUUGCAGAAUUCAGUGAAUCAUCGAAUCUUUGAACGCACAUUGCGCCCCCUGGUAUUCCGGGGGGCAUGCCUGUUCGAGCGUCAUUUCACCACUCAAGCCUCGCUUGGUAUUGGGCAACGCGGUCCGCCGCGUGCCUCAAAUCGUCCGGCUGGGUCUUCUGUCCCCUAAGCGUUGUGGAAACUAUUCGCUAAAGGGUGUUCGGGAGGCUACGCCGUAAAACAACCCCAUUUCUAAGGUUGACCUCGGAUCAGGUAGGGAUACCCGCUGAACUUAAGCAUAUCAUAAGCGGAGGA
This 330-nucleotide unclassified non-coding RNA is filed under the name soil metagenome. RNAcentral describes it as "partial contains 5.8S ribosomal RNA, internal transcribed spacer 2, and large subunit ribosomal RNA". The stretch from base 1 to 120 matches the Rfam family "5.8S ribosomal RNA", at positions 35 to 154 of the family's 154-position model. The record is from RNAcentral.